GCAAAACGCGAAGAACCUUACCAAGGCUUGACAUGCAUCUCUAAGCGCGUGAAAGCGCGUGACCCUUCGGGGGAUUUGCACAGGUGCUGCAUGGCCGUCGUCAGCUCGUGUCGUGAGAUGUUGGGUUAAGUCCCGCAACGAGCGCAACCCUUGUGACUAGUUGCCAGCACGUUAUGGUGGGAACUCUAGUCAGACUGCCCAGAUCAACUGGGAGGAAGGUGGGGACGACGUCAGGUCAGUAUGGCCCUUACGCCUUGGGCUGCACACGUACUACAAUGCCCAGUACAAUGAGAACCGAGACCGCGAGGUGGAGGAAAUCUAAAAAACUGGGCCCAGUUCGGAUUGGAGGCUGCAACUCGCCUCCAUGAAGUUGGAAUCGCUAGUAAUGGCGCAUCAUCUACGGCGCCGUGAAUACGUUCCCGGGUCUUGUACACACCG
This 438-nucleotide ribosomal RNA is filed under the name uncultured bacterium. Its description in RNAcentral is "bacterial SSU rRNA". It matches the Rfam family "Bacterial small subunit ribosomal RNA", at positions 954 to 1392 of the family's 1533-position model. The record is from RNAcentral.